UAAGAAUGUAAGCAAGUCUUAUGUUGUUUGAGAGAGCUUAUGAUAAUGUUUACGUGUGCUGUCAUGAGAUUCUUUUCUUAAGGCAAACUGAGCGUUUGAUUUCCUGGUACCUAUUGAUCCAGUACUGCGCUGUAUACGAUUAGGAAUUUUGCAAUUUAAUGUUAAGUUGUUCUCUUCAAUGUUUUGUAAUUUUAGAAAAGAUUAAGUUGUGAAAGUACAAUUCCCC
This 226-nucleotide long non-coding RNA is filed under the name Setaria viridis. RNAcentral describes it as "long non-coding RNA (SVIR_LNC010467)". The record is from RNAcentral. Lineage: Eukaryota; Viridiplantae; Streptophyta; Magnoliopsida; Poales; Poaceae.